AAGUGUUCAUAUCUGUAGACAUUUCCACAAGGAUUUCCAGGGUUUAUUAUAAGCAUAGCAGCAGUAUUCUCAUCUGCCAGAGACUCAACAGCCUCGAGAUCAACCUCCCAGCCCUUAUCAGGUAAAAGAUCAAAAUGGCGAACCUCAAUAUUAUUAUGUCCAGCAAUAGCUUCAUAGUAUGGGAAUCCUGGUUUUGGUAGCAAAAUGUUAGCCCCAGGUCGUCCAAGAACUGAUAAUGUGAUUUCAAUAGCUUGUGUGCAUCCCAGUGUAACAAAAACAUCAUCUGGCGAUAGCUUGUAUGGAAGAUCACGAUUAAGGUAAUCUGCAAUAGCCCUGUUGGAGCUCAAAAAACAUCAAAUAAAGAAAAUAAGAAACGUUGUCCAAAUUUCCGUAGAUUGUUUUAUCAGUUUUGUGUAAGUUUAAAAAGUCUUUUUUUUUUUUUUUUUUUAUUAUUGUUAUUUAACUUUAAAGUAAGUCAUUCUACUCCUCUUACACUAACUUUCUUAAAGAAGGUCAGUGCAUUCUCUAGUUAUAUUAUCUGAAAAAUAUUAUAAAUUAAUGCAUCUUCCAUCGUUCCAUAACCAUUUACUUCUAAAAAAAAUUAAGGAAUUUACUCGCCUUGACAGACUAAAACAAUGAAAAUAUAAAAUUUUUAAAAAAUUAUUCUUACUUCAUCCUUUUUUUUUUUUUUUUUGAUACGGUUAGAAAUAUCUUUCUUUCUAUAAAAAUUUUUAUUUUCAUAAGUCUAAAACAUCGGUUAAGUAAUGAAUCCGAUAAGACAAAUUAAUUUGCAUACCAUAUUAAUGUAAAUUUUGUUAUUUACUUAUAUAGACUGUGUCUAUAUAUAGGAUAUAUAUGGACGAAACUAAUGAAAAUAUAAAUUUUGAUUGAAAACUAUGCAGAAAAAAUAGAGAUUAUAUUCAAAAUGUUUUUAUUUUUCAUUGGUUUAGUCUAUAAAUGAUUAAUUUGCAUAACUAAAUACAUAAAUUUUAGGAUUGAUUUGCAUAUACUGAACCCAUAUACAGCACAUACAUCGAAUAAAUCAAUGAAAAUGGAAAUUUUUGUUAAAAGAAUGGCCAUAGAAAAUUAAAAAAAAAAAAAAGAGGAAUCUUAUUCCUAGAAAGUAUCUCCAGUUACUUCCAAAAGAAUAGCACAUCCUGGACAAAAAUGAGGCCCAGGUCUCUGCAAUUCUUUUGAAAGUUGCUUAAAACUCCUGUGUGCACUUGAAACACAUGUACUAUAUUGCAAGGUAUCUACCUCAAGACAUUUAAAGCCAAAAGAAACAGCUUAAGUGCACCUAAUAAAUAAACUACAAAUAACAAAUAUGAAGUUGUAGCAGCAAAUGUCACCACAAUAAAAUAGUAAUAUAAAUUGAGUGCGCAAAACAUGUUAACACACAACCCCAACUAAUCUCCAAAUAAUAAUAUCAUUAUUAUUAUUCAUUAAUAAUUUAAUUCUAAUCCUGAUGAUCGCACGCUGGAGUUAUAGAGCCGGCAUUUGGGGAGAAUUUCGAAACAUAAUAGCUCUCUGAUGCAAAAAAGAUUAAUCUCUCGUUUAAUCGUUUAAUCGUUAAAUUGAGAUGUAAGAAAAAAUUAAUUCUAGCACGGCAUAUGAGAAAUUAAAAAUAAUAUUUUUAACUAAUUUUUGAUAUUAUAUUUUCAAAACUGAGUUAUGUUUCAGUAAGAAAUUAUGGUUGCGUGGUAUAUGAGAAAUACUUAAAGGAAAGAGAGCUCGCAUACUUCCAAACAAUAAAUAAAAUUAUAAUAAUUGAGAAAAAAAAAAAAAAGAAAAGAGGAAAGUUGAUAUUUUGGAGAAGUUAUUGUACCUUCUAGCAGGAAGAAUACCAACAGUUGGAGAAUAGCAGUUAUAUUUGGCCGAAUUUACAGCCUCGAUAAUAGCAUCUACAGCCGUGGAAGCGGUAUGAAAGCAUGGGAAAGAAGAAGGGUCGCCAUGGCCGAGACGAAUGACUGGUCUAUCGUCUUCUUUGUUAAGAUUAGCCAUUAUAGUGUUCAGAGCACCACGAACGGUUAUUGAUGACGCUGCAAUGAGGCCUUUGUCUGCCUGAAAACACCACUUCUUUUAUCCAUUCUCCAUCUCUCCUCCUUCUGGCCUCUGCUGAGCUGAGCUUGCUAUGGGAACUUUUUCAGAGGUGAGAACCACGUGUUACGCUUAAUAAUUUUGUUGCAAAGUCCGAAAAGACCAUUUAACCCUCAAUAAUCUCUUACAAUUUCUAUUAAGGAUUAAAUUAACAAACCGGUUUCAAUGGAUUCCAUCUUCUAAAAAUUUCGUGAAAUUUAAUCCAUAUAUUCAAAUAAAUACCUAAUAAAUUUAAUAUCUGGAUGUUUUUUCACUAGAAAAUAAUUAAUAAAUAAUUAAAAAUUUUUCUACCCAAGACAGAUUUUUUUUCUACACAGAUUGUGAUGUGAUGACCUAUGAGGGUAAGACUUGUAUCAAUAGCAAACGAAUAGUAGCCAUUAGAUUGCACUAUUUAAAAUUUAACCAUUAGAUGAAAUAAUAGAUAAAAGAUCUAAUAUGUUUAGUCAUUCAUAUUUAAUAUGUAGAAAGUUACUAUUGAAAAAUAAUUCUAAUUAUUAUAACAAUGUUAAAAACAAAAUCAUUUUUGUCAAUUUAAUUUCUGAAAAUUUUAUUUUUCAUAAAAAAAAUGAAACAGGUUUAUUAUUUUAUAUAAGUUAAGAAUGUAUAUUAUUUAAUAUUCCUAUUUAUUUAUAAACAAGCGUUUGUUUUUUCAAAUAUUAUGUUGUUAUUUUGUUUUUUGAUUUUUUUUUUACAAAAAAAGGGAAAACUAUGAUUUAACAAUUAAACCUUUCAAAAACAAUUUUAAUGAGUUUAAUUUUUUGAGUUUUUUAUAAUUCAAAGAAAUAAGUUGAUUUGAAUUCUGUAGAAUUUUAAUUUUUUUUUUUAAGUAAAAAUAUAUUUUAUAAAUUGUAGACAACUAGACAAGUACACAGUGGCCCAUUGGACAAAAUAUAUGGGUCGAGACAGGCCCAUUAUAUACAACAAUGAUCCGUAUGUAGUAAGUCUUGACACAGCCCAUCAUUUAAACUUUAGACUUCACGCGAAUUUUAGGAGCAUGGAAUUUUAAGAAGCGCCUCUAUUACGUGGAUAAAACGUACGGUCAGCAAAAAGGAGAUUGCAUGGAGAUGGAAACAACGAAAAUAGAAAAUAAAAACAAAAAUAAAAUUGACAGGCACAACGCGGGUAUUGUUGCCAGUCAGUUGCUUCUACUAUGUGACUGUUGAUAUUGAAGACGCGUCAAGCACAAGACAAUGACGCGUGUCCGUUUUGUAUUGGUUAGCCUUUAUUCUCUCUCUUUCUUAUUUAACUGUCGGCUCAACAGAGCUAUUGAAAAGGAGAGACACAAAGAGAGAUGGACGACGAUGCGGUGGAUAAUGAUGCGACUGUCGUUAGUCGUUAGUCGUUAGAAUUGGUCUUUAUCUGAACCAUUAGAACUUGCACAUAUGCCCGUUCUCCGUGGGAGAGCGUAUAUGCACGCUCCAUAUAUGAAUUUUAAUAUUUCUCACAUUAUUGAUGAUUUUGCAAUAUAGCCUUCAUUAAUGUGAACAAUGAUUUUAUUUUUUAAAAGAGGUAGCUAAUGAAUUGCUGAUUUAAGAUGGUGUCCCGAAUUUCUCUAUUUUCUUUAUGUUUAUGUGCAUAACUUGCCUUCGAUUUUGCUUUUCUAUGGAAAAAAAAUCUGCCACGUGCUCGAGAUAGUUCUUUAAUUUGCUUGGUAUUUGUUUUGCUUCCUCUGUAGCAUCUCUCUGAGAAAGUGUCAUAUUCUUCUUUACUGGUUUUUCUCUGGCUGAAGUUAGAAUCAUGCUUUGCAAUCUUCUGCAUCUUUUCAUCUCCUGUGUUGGAUUUAUUUACUGAUGGAAGGGCAGACUUCAUAAUUUUAAAGAAACAUGCAUUCCAAUUUCUCUGGCAUUUCUAGAAAAAGAAAACAGAUCAUGGGCUCAAAGAUUUCAUCUUGGACAUCAAUGAUCGUAGGUUUUGCAAUGCAUGGUUAUGUCGAUGAAGCGAUUGAAUGCUUUCACUGCAUGAGAGAAGCUGGAGUGAGACCUAACCAGGUCACCUUUACAAGAGUGCUAAGUGCCUGUGUCCAUGGCUGUAAAGUAAAAGAGGGGAAGUAUUUUUUUGAUAUGAUGAGGAAUGCUUAUGAUAUAAUGCCAGAGAUAAAACACUAUGGAUGCAUGGUGGAUCUGCUUGGCCGAGUAGGGCUACUUGAAGAGGCUAGAGAGAUUGUGGAGGGGAUGCCAAUGAAGCCGAACGUGGUGAUAUGGGGGUGUUUGAUGGGUGCCUGUGAGAAAUAUGGGGAUGUGAAGAUGGGGGAAUGGGUUGCAGGAGUUAGAACCUUGGAAUGACGGGGGUUUUGUGGUUUUAUCUAAUAUAUACGCUAGUAAAGCUUUAUGGCAAGAAGUUGAGAGGGUGAGAGUAGGCAUGAAGACGCAAAGGCUAGCUAAAAUCCCUGCUUAUAGUUUGGCAACAAGCUCUGACUGAAAGCUUUAACUUUUCUAUUUGGUGAGCCAAUGACCAAGUCUUUGUCCUGCAUUUCACUAAAUCUGAGGAUUUAUGCCUCUCUAUUAGUAUUGAAGUGUUGGGUGAAAUGAGUUUCUUUCAAUAAUGAAGAACGUGUUAGCAGUAACUAAAGUCAUCUUUAUCUGGUCAGCAUUGCAACCUGUUACUCUUUGGUGUUUUAGAACCAGCAGUAACGGACACAUCCAGGUUGAGCAGAGACGUCUUACAACAGGAAGACAAGUUGCGAGGGUUGGAAACCACUUGUUUAAGCCAAAGAAAUUUUCUAGAGAAGGCCAAAUUUGCUCUGCCUUGACGUCUUUGAUCUCUGCAGAAGUUUUUCCUUCCCGCUUUGGCUGUUGUUGAUAGAUAGCAACUGAUUUUUUAUCCAAUUAGUUAGUACCUUGCUUACUUGUAUAUUAAAGUGAGAUGUACACAUUUUUAAGUAAAAUUUGUCGAAAAUAAAUUAUUUUGGACGAGAGAUAAAUGAAUUUUUUAUUAAUGAUGAAAUUUAAAUCACUUAAUUUUGAUUCUAGAUUUUAUUGCCAAUCUACACCACUUAAUUAGCUUUGAUUUGCACAUGAUUAUUCAAAAAUAAUAAGGAUUUUAUGAUCAAAUUGCAACGACAAAACAUUUUAGUUUUUUUUUUUAGUAUUGGAGAGGGGAAACGAUUUGUUUUAUUUUUUUUGUUUGUUAAUAUUGGAGAGGGAAAUUCGAACUUGUAUUUAUUGUCGGGUCAUAUAUGCCACGUUUUAGUUAAAGUUCAUGUUUAUUCUCCUACCACUAUGAUACACAAUGGUGCUGGCAAAAAUGAAUAAAUGUGAAAACACAAAAUUAAGACAGAUUUGGAGCUCUUAUAAAAAAGUUCAGAAAUUUUACUGGUAGAUUUACCAACAACAUCUAACAUAGUUCAAGGACUUCCAUUAUCUGAAUUACAUACUCUCAUCCAUUAUGGAGAUUAUGUGCUUGAACAAACAACAACUUACUAAUUACCAAAAGGAUCCAACCUAGAAUUAGAUCCUUGAUGAUAGAAUAGACAUCUAAUGGCACUUACCCUCGAGAUCCAACGCGGAGUUGUUGAUCUUUAAGAAGGAAAUCCGUUUAUUGACGAGGAUCAAUGGCAUGCAUGUCCUCACGGCUUCUUGGCAUGCCUUUCACAGAAAUCUUUUAUUCUCCGAAAGCCAACUUCAAGAGUUGAAGGCUCAAUGGCAAAAGAUAUGCGAAGCCAAUUUUUCAUUCCCACACAUAUUCCUGCAAAUAAGAUCACAAAAUGUUAUAAGUAUCAAUGUCAACUGUCUAUUUAAGCUAUCCGCCAUUUUUACCUGGUAGAACUAUGACUGAUUCCUCCUUAGCAAGCUUGAGACAGAAGUCCAUGUCGUCCUUAAUGCCUUCCAAUAGUGACAAGUUCAAUUUUGCCUGUAAUGAGUUUUCUAGUUAAGGAUUAUCUUCUUUUGGAGAAAUGGAAUUUAUAUAUAUGAUAUUUGAUGCCUCACCAUUACAAACAUAGAACCUUGUGGUCUAUUCGGGCAAGUAAUGCAAGGAAUAUCCUGCAUUCCGUCGCAGCAUAUGUCUACAGCCUCUCUCAGUAAGUUGAGAAUUUUCAGAAAGAAAUCCUCAUUUGUAUUCUCCAGGAUUUCUGGAAUUGCACCCUGAUAGACAUCCAAGAUUGUUUUGACAGGAAAUUUUUUUUUUUUUUUAAAUUUAGGAAGAGCAUCAUUAAUCACAAACCUGAAUGAAUGUUGCAGGAUCAGAUGAGAUGUUGAGAUAGCUAAUUAUUGAAUUAACAACCUAAGACAAACAGAAAAAAGAAAUUGUUAAAAUAAAACCUGAAUUGACAUGACAAUAGAAGAAUAUUCAUAAUCCUUCCAUGAAGAGAGAGAGAGAGAGAAGUGCCAACCCCAUAUUUUCGAAGAAUGUCAUUAGGAUCACUAACAACAAGCCAACCAAUUCUCCAGCCAGGAACGAUCCAUCUCUUCGAUAUGGAUCCAAGUGAAAGAACAGGCACGAUUGAUCCAAAAACUCCCAUUGGAACAAAUGGAGUACUCCCAAAUGUAAGAUGCCCAUAUACUUCGUCAGCAAUCACCAUAAUUCCAAGCUCUCUAGCUGUUUCUGCAAUCUAAUAAAGAACACACAAAUAUGAACGUUGCAGCUCACCAAUUAUGAUUUGAUAUGUCAGGGUGAUAUCAAACAAAAAGAAAUCAGAAAUUUCACCCACUUUCUUCAAGUGUUCAUAUCUGUAGACAUUUCCACAAGGAUUUCCAGGGUUUAUUAUAAGCAUAGCAGCAGUAUUCUCAUCUGCCAGAGACUCAACAGCCUCGAGAUCAACCUCCCAGCCCUUAUCAGGUAAAAGAUCAAAAUGGCGAAUCUCAAUAUUAUUACGUCCAGCAAUAGCUUUAUAGUAUGGGAAUCCUGGUUUUGGUAGCAAAAUGUUAGCCCCAGGUCGUCCAAGAACUGAUAAUGUGAUUUCAAUAGCUUGUGUGCAUCCCAGUGUAACAAAAACAUCAUCUGGCGAUAGCUUGUAUGGAAGAUCACGAUUAAGGUAAUCUGCAAUAGCCCUGU
RNAcentral lists this long non-coding RNA (7089 nucleotides) under Jatropha curcas. RNAcentral's name for it is "long non-coding RNA (JCUR_LNC003027)". The record is from RNAcentral. Lineage: Eukaryota; Viridiplantae; Streptophyta; Magnoliopsida; Malpighiales; Euphorbiaceae.